This 1270-nucleotide unclassified non-coding RNA is filed under the name Hevea brasiliensis (rubber tree). The record is from RNAcentral. Lineage: Eukaryota; Viridiplantae; Streptophyta; Magnoliopsida; Malpighiales; Euphorbiaceae.
GGGGUUUCUUGUUUUCAGCAUUGAUACUUAACUUUAUAUUCGCUUGCCAACUCUUUUUCCUUCAACCCCUUGUAUCUGCUUUAGACGCCAAACCUGGUGAUGCUGCUGCAUUGUUUGAGAGAGUUGCACAAAAUGUAAAAGUUAAGAAAUACAGUGAGGCACUUAAUGAUCUAAAUUCAGCCAUAGAGGCAGACCCAACACUUUCAGAGGCGUAUUGGCACCGUGCAUCUCUCCUUCGUCAGUUGUGCAGAUAUGAGGAAUCGGAAAAAAGCUACAAAAAGUUUCUGGAGAUGAAACCAAGAGACUCAGCUGCAGAGAAGGAGCUUUCUCAGAUGCACCAAGCUAAGAGUGCUCUUGAUUCAGCUACCAACCUGUUGGACACGGAUGACAUUAAAAAAGCGUUGGAGUAUAUUGAUAAAGUCGUACUAGUUUUCUCUCCAGCAUGCUCCAAGGCCAAACUCCUUAAGGUGAAGCUAUUGCUAGCAGAUAAAGAUUAUUCAGGUGUCAUAUCCGAGGCAGGAUUUAUACUUAAAGAGGAUGAGGAUAAUCUGGAGGCUUUACUUCUACGAGGCCGUGCCUACUACUAUCUGGCUGAUCAUGAUGUAUCCUUACGGCACUACCAAAAAGGUCUUCGUUCAGACCCAGAGCACGGGGAAUUGAAGAAAGCCUAUUUUGGCUUGAAAAACUUACUUAAAAAAACUAAAAGCGCAGACGAUAACGUAAGUAAGGGUAAAUUUCGUCUUGCUGUGGAGGAGUACAAAGCAGCCCUGGCGUUGGACCCCAACCAUUCUGCACAUAAUGUAAAUCUUCAUCUUGGUUUGUGCAAAGUCUUGGUAAAGCUUGGAAGGGGGAAGGAUGCUAUAUCAAGCUGUUCAGAAGCCCUUGAACUUGAUGGAGAGCUUAUCGAUGCUCUAGUGCAGAGGGGUGAAGCCAAGCUUCUAACAGAAGAUUGGGAGGGAGCUGUUGCAGAUUUGAAAGAAGCAGCUGAAAAAUCUCCUCAGGAUAGGAAUAUUCGUGAAGUGCUGAUGAGGGCUGAGAGAUCAUUAAAAUUAAGUAAACGGAAGGAUUGGUAUAAGAUAUUGGGAGUGUCAAAGACAUCAUCUGUAUCAGAGAUAAAAAAGGCAUACAAAAAGCUUGCGCUGCAAUGGCACCCUGACAAGAACGUUGACAACAGAGAAGAAGCUGAAGAAAAGUUUCGUGAAAUAGCAGCUGCAUAUGAGGUUCUCGGGGAUGAGGAAAAACGUACACGAUAUGACCAAGGGGAAGACAU